This is a small nuclear RNA of Benincasa hispida (wax gourd), 199 nucleotides long. RefSeq annotates it as U2 spliceosomal RNA. Lineage: Eukaryota; Viridiplantae; Streptophyta; Magnoliopsida; Cucurbitales; Cucurbitaceae. The record is from RefSeq and is a predicted model, not a curated record.
AUACCUUUCUCGGCCUUUUGGCUAAGAUCAAGUGUAGUAUCUGUUCUUAUCAGUUUAAUAUCUGAUACGUGGGUCAUCGGCCCACAUGAUAUUAAAUUUAUUUUUCUAGGGGGAAGGCUCACCAUAUAAUAGCUUGCUAUUGGGGCCUUCGAGCGUCGCCCAUGCGUUGCACUAUUGCUUGGGUUAUGGCGUACCCCUC